RNAcentral lists this long non-coding RNA (900 nucleotides) under Oryza sativa Indica Group (long-grained rice). Its description in RNAcentral is "lncRNA OsMH63_03G017170". Lineage: Eukaryota; Viridiplantae; Streptophyta; Magnoliopsida; Poales; Poaceae. The record is from RNAcentral.
GACCCCCGCGUUGCUCUCGUGCGGGCGGCUCGGGGGCGAAACCCUAGCCGCCCGCGCCGCCACACCCUCAUCCCCCUCCUCCACCUCGCCGCCGCCGGAGCUCGCCGGCGGCGUGCCGGGAAGGCGGCGGCGAGGCCCAAACGGCUCGGCGGAACCGGCCCCUGCGCGAGGAGAAUGGAGAACACCGACGAUGGCGAGGCCAGAGGUGGAGACGGCGGUUCGGCUUGGGGCGGCGGAUCCGGCGCCCUGUGGCCGGAUCUGGCCUCUCCACCCGCGGAUCCGGUCGGCGCGGUGAGCGGCGCGACGGAGGCAGAGCGGGCGGCGAGCGGCUCCGCGACGAACGUGGAGUGGGCGGCGGGCGGCGCAACACGGGCCCCGGCCAGCGAGGCAGCCUGGCGCGGUGGCGGCGCGGGUUGGGGCUGCGGCGACGGCGCCUGCUCCUGCUCUGCCUCGUGCCCCCGCCCGGUGUCGUUGUCGGAUGGCGAGGAAGGCGAGGCCGGCGGCCAGGGCGAGGCGGCGGCCGGUGGUGUGCGAGGUGGUGUUGGCCGGACACGCGGCCAUGGCCCGAUGGCCGGUGGCGUGAGGCUGUGGAGGUGCUGCGCGAGGAGGAAGCCGGUGGUGGUGACCGGGUCAUCAGGUGGCUGGCUGCCAUUGGUGACCUCAGUGGCUUACGGCAGCACGCAGGAAGCGCUUGACCUGCGGGGUGGUAGACUGAGCUUGGGUGUUAAAGGGAUGGCGUGGUGGUCUAGCGAUGGUCGUUGUGCAGGAUGGUUGUGUGGGGUUUUGAUGGGAAACCACUGGCGAAAGCCUUGCCAGGCCAUGGGCCGGCAUGAUGACGGCGACGCCAUUUGGCGCCGUUCUCCUCCUUGGAGGUGUCGUCCUGGCGUUGACCCCUCAUAA